GUGGGGGGGUUCAGCACAGCUGGAUGGGGGGCUGAGGGCGGUCCCUGCGCCCACCACGCUCACCUGGUCACGGAACAUGAGGGAGAUGAUCUCGAGGACGUGCAGAGCCCACUGCUGCUCAGCCGGCGCGCUGGCCAGGAACUUGAGCAGGUCGUCCAUGCCACUGAUGUGCAGAGCCCACAGCACGCGGUCGUGCAUGCUGGCAUCGCCAUCCACACCCUGGGGGGCAGCACAGGGUGGGGGGCAGCACGCAGGGCACCUUGCCGUGGGGAUCCCUGUGUCUGUCCCGCCCCCUCCCAUUACCUGCUCCGCAGAGGGGUCGGGGGGCACGUGCAGCACAUUGCGCACCAGCAGCAGGAUCCGCUCGAUCAGCAGCGUGUCCUCCUCCUGCCUCUGCUCCCAGUCCUGCAGUGCGCGGCUGUCAGAACUCCCAUAGACCUCCCCGGCCCCCAGCCCCACAGCUGCCCCCCGACCCUCAGCCCCAUAGAGCCCCCCCCGGAUCCCCAGCACCCACCAGCUGCAGCACUUCGUACAGCUUCUCGCUCAGCACCCCAAACACCUUCUCACUGGCGAACGCCUGCAGAAAACCCUUUGUGAGCUCUGUGUGUGUGGGGGGAGGGUUUGAAGACCCCCCCACCCGGAGAUCACCCCACGGCUGCACCUCACCUCUUUGUACGCCUGCAGGUAGGACAGCACCUGCAGGAAGUGGUGCCGGGCGGUGGCAUCCGAUGGCACUUUGCCGAAGCAGAGCAGCGCCGGCUGCGUCAGGUUCACCAUCAGCCUAUGGGGGGGAGUUGGGGGGGAGGGGCAGGACUCGGGACCGCUGCCCACGUGGGAGCGCAGCCCCGCACCAUCCCCGCAGCUCCCCGGUACCUGACGACGGCAUCGAAAAGGGUCCGGUCCUGCGGGUACUGAACGAGCAGCGGCAGCAGAUCGUUCUGCAGGAUCUGCGCUGCUCCCAGCUGCUGCCGCACGUCGCGGCUCUCAUCCUCGUGCCGGAGGUAGCCCAGGGCGCUGCAGGUGGCCAGCAGCUCGCAGUUCAUCAUGUACCAGUCCAUGCAGCGCGGGGCGGGCGCGGGGAGCC
Molecule: long non-coding RNA, 1084 nt
Filed under: Meleagris gallopavo (turkey)
Lineage: Eukaryota; Metazoa; Chordata; Aves; Galliformes; Phasianidae
Description: lncRNA (ENSMGAG00000022284.1)
Source: RNAcentral